AUAAUGUUGAGAACAGUGCAGU
RNAcentral lists this unclassified non-coding RNA (22 nucleotides) under Mus musculus (house mouse). Its description in RNAcentral is "oocyte_clustered_small_RNA9171". The record is from RNAcentral. Lineage: Eukaryota; Metazoa; Chordata; Mammalia; Rodentia; Muridae.